Long non-coding RNA from Oreochromis niloticus (Nile tilapia), 3248 nucleotides. RefSeq lists it as uncharacterized. The transcript is spliced from 5 exons. The record is from RefSeq and is a predicted model, not a curated record. Lineage: Eukaryota; Metazoa; Chordata; Actinopteri; Cichliformes; Cichlidae.
UAAAAAAAUAUAUAUAGGAUACAUUGAUAAGACAAUGAAUAUUAAAAUAAAUACAUUUUGUCUUCCACUAAUGCAUUUAAGACAAUUUGAUUUUACUUAUUUGGUGAAACACUUUGAGAUUUUAUUGUAUUUUAGCAUGUGCUACAUAAAUUAAGUUUAUUAUUAAAUCCUCCCUACUUGAAACAACAAACAUAACAGGACUUUACCAUUCUUAUAUGUCCUAACUUAACUGUGUUACGUUGUGCUUAAGUUAUGAUUUUAAGUGAUGCUUACUUAAUAUAGAAAUAGUUCAACUCAAUCAAAAAUUAUUAGUUUCAUUUACUCAAAAAGGAAGAACAUGUUACACGAACUUGACAUAUUUAAGUUAACAGAACUUUUUAAAGACUUUGAGUAUACACUACUUAAUCUAUUUAAUUACUUUGAACAUUCGGGUUUACAGUGUAAAGAUUUAAAGAGUAAGGUUUUCUUAUAUAAUAGAUUAUGUGUAUUAAUGGUUACUUGCAAAACCUUUUCUCGUUGGUAAGCAUAAAUAUGACUAUGUGAUGUGCUAAAGGAAAAUAACAAAACAGACAAUACAGAAGAAGAAAAUUGCACGUCUGAUUUAUUUGCAGUGUCCACAAAAAACAGAAGAACCAUUCUUAGGUUACAGUUAGAUGCCACACUUUGAUGCUUGCUGUUUGGUACAACAUAACUUUGUACUAACUUUGAAGCAUUAGAUAAAUGUUAGCCCAGACACAAAGGUGCCAGGCUUUUUCUGAGAGCUUUCAUACACUCAAAAAAAUGAAUGAGGUGGAUUGUUCAGUGUAUAUUAAUUAUUUAUUUUCAUUUUACUUAAAAUAUAUGUUUUUGUUAAGUUAACAUGUGUUUUUCUAAUCAAGUCUACGUAAUUGUGUCUAUUAUUCACUGUACAUAAUACUAAUGUGUUACUUGAUGGCAUGACAUUUAAGUUAAGUCAAUUAGGAUCGAUAUACUUUGUAUAUCCACUAGGUGGCAGUAAUGCAAAAACAGUUGUAAUGAAACCGCGAAGAACAACAAGGUUUCACGGCUUGGGCCUGCUCAUGAGCAAGACUUCAAAUUUAACUUAAAAACGUUGUUUUGGCGCCAAGCUGCUGUUUCUUUGAGAGAUCCUGCCUUUACCUGCUCCCUCCUAUACUGAUGUGGUGUAUGUGGUACUGCUGAGCUUGUAUGUGAUCUGAACCAUUGUAAAGGUUGCAGUUCAAGGGCCUGAGGUGGAAGCAGAAUUUGUGAGGAUUACUACUGCUCCACUUGUUCCAAGGCUUUUUGCACAACUUGACCAAUACACUGACCGGCUCAUAAAAGUCUUCAAGAAAAAAGGAGGCGCUGCAGUGAAGUAAAUUAGACAAAUUUUGGCCCCACCCACACAGGUGCAUUAUUCUGUUGGUAGCAAAAUAUUAUGGCUAAUAAGAUCACUUUCAAAUUUAAACAGCUAGUGUAUGGUAGCUGCACAGUGUACUUACAUUUAUAUUAAGCAAGACAAAGUUUGGUACUCAAAACUUUGGAAAAUUAAAAUUACCUAAACAUAAGUAAAAUCUGAUCCCUCAAUUUCGGGUUAAACCAUAAGUGAAUGUUUUUAUGUUAAAGAUCAGUUUUUGAAUGCAAAAACGAUGAUGUAUUAGUUUGUCUAUACCUCCAUUAUGGACAUAUAUAAUGUGGUGGAAACCCUGCCCAACAGGUUAACUAUUCAUGUCCAUGUGAUGAUUAGUUGGUCUUGUGUACAUGUCUAUCUGUGCAGUGAAUAUGUCAUUCAUUUUGCGUAUAAUGUGAGUUUGUGUCAUCCUAAAGUAUAUCUGUUUUCUCUUCCUGUAUCUCUGCCACUCUCUACGGAAGGAAACUAUUGAAAAGGGGAGGGAGUGUGUCCUCAGGGCACUACCUUUUUACCUGAAUGAAGACCCAAGUAUCCUCUUCAAAGAAUAAUUGCUACAGCUACAGCUGUUCAGAGGGAGCUGGAACAAAUUACCCUUGCUGUCUUCACCAUCGAAAAAGCUGAUGUCAGCACUCCUCCAGCCGAUGUGGGUAUAACCAUCUAGGGUGUUCUGCAUGACCUGGAAAACAUGGCCUUUGAAGUACUUCAGAAGCUCUUCCUUCAUCUGUAUGUCAGCAGACUCUUGACCAAGGUACAGAUGCUCAAGAAUAAACUGAAUGAAUAAGCCAACCCUUAAUUUGGAUGAUGAAUGUUCUGUCAGAUGGACGGAAGUUUUUCAGAGGCUGAAUGGGAAUAAAACGGUAAUUUGUUGAAAAUGACAGAUAAAGGGAAAAUUACAUUUAAGAGAAAUUUUGAAAACUUUGUAAACUACUACAAUUUGAGAGAUUUUACUCUUGUGGGGGGAGGGGGGCUAGUAAGAGACAAUCAAAAGUAUUGAGAUUUAAAGGAUUUAAUUGAGAGAUGAUACUGCACCAGAAAUGUUGAAGGGUGGUGUGUAUAUUAGCGUUCAAGGUAUAUUGUUAUGAGGUGGAAAUAUGUUCAUAUUCUGUUUGUGUUACAUUGUGUGCAUUGUAAAGGUAAUUGCAAUACAUACUAAGAAUAAGGGUAAGUUAGGAAUGCAGGAUGAAUGUAUAUUUUGCGGGCUUUUAAAGACGAACAAUUGUUUCCAUGUUAAAAUGUUUACAACCCAAGUUUUUUGCCCAAACACUGGUAAAAUAAACGUUGAGUGUGGCAAGUGUUAAAUGGUUACUGUUGUGCUGUUGCAAAAAAACUGAACGCUGACAAGCUGUUUUAUUGUUAGACCAUAAUGCUGGCAUGUUUUAUUAAAGUUUUAUUUGGGAUGGUGAUAUAAUUUUCUUUGAUUGCUAAUAUCAGUGGACUAUUUAUUAUUAUUAUUAUUAUUACAACAUUAUUUUUUUUAAUUGUGGCUGUUGAGGUGGACACUUCACUUUGCAUUGUUAAAGGAAAGCACUUCAUUGGCGUUGUGUUACUGGACUGACCCUAAGCAAUCAUUGCAAAUAGCAACUUUGCUAUCCAUUUUAGACACUAAAAGAAAAAACACUCCACAGACCUUACUAGCAUCACAUGUGCAUAACUCAAGUGUCAUCUUAUCAACAUGUUAUGUGGUCUUCAAUGUUUUUUUCUUCUAUUUCUGGCAGAUACAGACAUUUAAUUUAAAGUGUUGAUGUUCCAUCUGUCUACAUACUGUUAGUUACUAACCCUAAUGACCUGUUGUGUUUUAUUUUGGACUGGGUUUACACAAAUGCUCACUGAAUGUGUUGGCAAUAAAAGAAAUUUAAAAAAA